Lolium rigidum is the source of this 512-nucleotide long non-coding RNA. RefSeq lists it as uncharacterized. The transcript has 3 exons. Lineage: Eukaryota; Viridiplantae; Streptophyta; Magnoliopsida; Poales; Poaceae. The record is from RefSeq and is a predicted model, not a curated record.
CACAGAUGAAGAGAUUCUUGGGUUCAGUAAAGAUCCAUGUAUUUGUGCCGACAUUUUCUCACAAAUUUUACGAAUUUUGGCUAAAAGCUACUAGGUGCAGUGGAGAGUGUCUUAAAACUUCGGCUUGGACAACGCUUACUACUAAUUUUGGUGUUGGAUUAUGCGAGCGCCGAAAUGAUGAACGAGCGGAGUGACUUCCGAGACCUCAUAAUGGAGAUCAUCUCUAAACAAAGGCCGGUCAACUAUGCUAGACCUCCAUUCUGAGGUCGCUCCAUUAUUUGUGUGCCUUACUUUUCCUAUAGAUGUUAAUCCUCAUUCAAAUCCAGCGAGGUAAGGGUUGGAAAAAAAGCAAAGUCUAACAGAUUCCCUUUUACUCUCAUGUUAGUGGUGCCAGACCAGAAAAACUUUGAUAAUACAGGUUCUGAAAUUAAUAUCGGUUAUGCAUGUGUGACGCACAGCUGGCGCUUCUCCUCCAAGUUGUGGUUUUAUGUCGGUGCCUCGCCAUGUAACAG